GAGCACAGUAAUUUUACAAGGUUCAAAUACAUGCAGGCCAGUGACUAUAAAAAAACACACUCGCCCAGCAUAUGUUUACAAAACAUAGAAGAAAAAAAUGACGUUGCAAGGGAGAACAUAUAUUUUGACCCUUGGUGGUAAACAUUUAAGGGUUCUCACAAAGAGCACCCCCAGGUUAAGAAAUCAAAGAAAUGGAACUUUUUUUAAUUGAAAAAUAUAGCAUUAGUAAUAUUGAAUACUACAUUUUUCAAUAAAAAUGUUUCCCGUUUGAUUCCUUAACUCGUGCUCCUAAGGCAUUCAUUUGUGGAGUAUUUGCCUUAAAAACACCAGAAAGGUUAAAACAAAUAGCAAGCUCUCUCUUGCUUAAGUUUUCUAACUACCAAUAGCAGCCAAGAAUUUCCUCUUGCUUACUGGAUCCUCAUGCAAUGCUACCACGUCACUCACUUUCUCCAACAAGUCCUCCAACUUGUUCACGCCAAAUAUCUGAUAUUCCAAUUGUUUCUUGUACCGUUGCUGGUAUACAGCUUCAAAACAACUUAGAAGUAUCUGACAGGAAUAGCUGACCAGAAUCUCCUGCAGCUCACACUUAAACUGCUCAAGAACACGGCCAUCAAUUUCACAUCUGGCUGCUCUCCCUUUAUUACACUUGCCGGUAAAAUUUCUUUCCUCGCGUUCUUCUGUGACUACUCUUUCUUCAUCUGACAACUCAUCCGAAGAGCAGCCACCAAUGACAACAUUUGCAUUCUCUUCCAGUUCCCUUUUUCCUUUCUUAUCUUUCUUUGCAAGAGACAACGGAGGAGCACCUGAUCCUCCCUUCCUGCUUCUGAGAUACACAUAUCUGCGAGCCCCUUUCCCUUCCACAGAAAUGGCAUCAUCCAUUUUUUUGAAAAGAUCAACCAACUUAAAUGCCCCAUAUUCAGAUAUGAAGAGUGGCUUACCAUAAAUUUUCUGGUACUCCGCUGGAACUCGGACUAAGGGCAGACAUCCUCCAGAAAGUUCGAGCAACCUUAUUAUCUGACCCUUGAGACCAUUUAAAUCCCCAGGCUGUACCCAUAGCUGGCAUUCAGUAUUGUCACUAGAAGGCACAGGUCCUCCAGCAACAUCAUUCAAUCCAGAUGGAAGGCUAUAUGAUCUCAAAGAAGUUGGCAAGUAAGACACAUGCGGUGAGUUAUAUUCAGACAGAGAUUGUGAUACCACUGAGAAUUCCCUCGAGUUGUAAUAGCUUUGUGACAUCCCUCUAUAAACUAUUGCUUCUUCUUCAUUUUGUCCAUCGGUGCUGUCAUUGAUAUGGCACCCCAUCAAAUAUCCAGAAAGCUCAACUGAACCACCACGGGGUGGCGCCAAAGCCUUUGAGGGGGGGACGAAACCUUCUCCACGAGCCACAACAGGCCAGUCCCAGACAAAUUUACCAGCAUUGCAUAGGGCAGAAGAAACACCAACCCCAGCAGGGAUGACAAGAAUUAUAGUGUAUCCCCGCUGACCAAGAAUGUGUAGCGCUGGAGCAAAAUCAACAUCACCAGAGAUUAGCAUGAUGGAGGAUGGUGGGGGAUUGUCAAGAGCAAAUAAGAACAUGUCGACCAAGAUUGCUUUGUCGGCAGCGUCUUUUCUCCCGUUGGGAACAUCAAUAAGUUUAACACCAGUUCUCUGACAGCCCUCUCUAAGCCGCCUAGGGAAAGCAUUGAAAUCCCCAUAAGCAGAAAACAUCAUAACAGCUCCUGUAAUUACUGGGUGUACCUGCAGAGCCAUUCUUAUAUUACCCGCCACAUCUUCUGGGCGUACAUCACUUGGAACAGGACAAUUUUCAAUAUCCCAAAGAAUAGAUACUGGACCAUCUAAGGUGCUACGGCAUUGCUGGCUUAUAGGACAUUGAAUUAUGCUUGCAUUUGAUUCAGCAAUAUUUUUCCCCUUCUGUUCCAUGGAGUCUAACAACAUUGUUGGUGUAGAUUUGUUAGUUGAGUUAGCCAUCAGUGUACUACAACACCAGAAUUUCCUGCACAGGAUGAGUAAGGACAUCAUUAAACAAAACAAAAUCUCAGAAACAUGGUCUUACACAAUAGUGACAAGGCAAUACAAGACCCUAAAUAGGCGUAACCCUUACAGUUACACCAUAAAUGUUAAAAACAAGACCUGCAGAACUAUGAAAGUGAUGUUUUUCUCUCCUCCAAUUAGAAGGUAAUUAGAACCGCUAGAUCGAGAAUCAGAGCUGAUGCAAGGUUGAACAAUGCAAAACAAUGGUAAUGAUACCAAAAAAGGACCAAGAUCCUUGAACACCACCACCACACCCAAAAAAAAAAUUGAAUCUGGAAGACAAAAUACUGAGCAUACAAAAUGAAUUCCAAACACCACUUCACUUUAUAUGCAUCAGUUCAAUCCAUAUAUUCAAUCUAUAUUAAUGGAUGAUGACAAAAUAAGACUACAACCGAGCAUUGUCCUUUGUUCAUAUUUCCAUCAUUACAAGGGUCUGUCAUCACUUAUUAAUGCAUACUAUAAGUGAUUCAAAUCAAAGUAACCCCAAACAAAAUUUUCAACCCUUAACCACCCUAUACCAUCACAUACAUUGAGGGCCUGUUUGGAUAACCUUAUUUUUGAGCUUAUGAAAAAUAGCUUAUGCAAAUAAAUAAGCUUUUAUGUUAAUUGGAAGUUCUCGCUAGUAAAAAUUGUAUCUUCAUAAGCUAUUAUUUCAUAAAAUACCUUAACAAACUUAUAAUUUAUUUGUAUAAGUUAUUUUGCAUAAGCUCAAAAAUAAGUCAAUCCAAAUGGUCCCAGAAUCAAGAAUCCAAAACGACAUCCAGACCAAGACUAACAAGCCAAAUCAAAAGAAACAUACGUUAUGCAACUUCCAAUACUUAUCUUCACAACAAAGCAAUCAAGUAAAAAUUUCAAGUUCCACAAAACCUAGGUCUAGCAAACCAAAAUUUAGAGCAAAGAAAUUCAAUUAGAAAAAAAAAAUAAUUAAAACAAAAAACACAAAUUUACAUUCCAAAUUUCUCAUCUUUAUAUGCUACUUAACAUAAACUAAUCUAAUCAGAACCAAAUCGGAGCAACAAAAACAAAUCUUGAAGAAAACUAAAAACCCAAAAUCUCAAACUAAUAACUAGUGGAAGUAAAUAAACAAAAAAGUACCAAUAAUUAGUGGGAGUAAAUGGAGAAUUAUUGAAGCGAUUAUGGGGAAACAAAUCCGAUGAAGCUCCACACGCGUGAAUCCGUGAUUGAGGUGCUGUUCUAUAAUAAGAAGUAGAUAAAUGAUGAAAUCACAAAGAACAUUAUCGUACAAAAAUCGCGUGAUUAUGAGAAAAAAGAGAGAGAAAGGAAAGAACCUAGUUGGUUGGGUGUAAUUUUGAAGAAACACAAGAUUAGGACAAGAGUUGGGUUAGGUCGGUGGAUUAUUAUAUACUACUGUGGAUCAGAAUUCAAGAUAGUGAAGACGGUAAUUGGUGGCUUCCAUAGUAAGGUAAGUAGGUAACUAAGGUUUUUAUUAGAGUAAUCAGUCAAUUUAGUCCCUAAACUAUCACUCUUUCACCAAUUCAGUCCCUAAACUAUUAAAACCAACUAAAAGGUCCCUAAACUAUUUUUCAUCCAUCAAUUAGGUCCCUAAACUAUUUUCCAUCCAUCAAUUUAGUCCUCCGUUAUCUUUUCCGUUAACUGUUNNNNNNNNNNNNNNNNNNNNNNNNNNNNNNNNNNNNNNNNNNNNNNNNNNNNNNNNNNNNNNNNNNNNNNNNNNNNNNNNNNNNNNNNNNNNNNNNNNNNNNNNNNNNNNNNNNNNNNNNNNNNNNNNNNNNNNNNNNNNNNNNNNNNNNNNNNNNNNNNNNNNNNNNNNNNNNNNNNNNNNNNNNNNNNNNNNNNNNNNNNNNNNNNNNNNNNNNNNNNNNNNNNNNNNNNUAUGUGUCAUGCUCACUGAUGACGUGACAUUGUACAUGUGGACAAACAAUUUCCUUAGAUAGUGUCCCGAGCCCCAAUCUUUUGCUUCUUUGAUUGCAGUGAUGUAAACACACGAUCAUCUUUAAGGAAUCACAUUGCAAAACAUGCAUCUCUAUAGGUCAAAUAUUGUGUGUCACCAAUUUUUCUGACAUCAUCAUAGCAAGUUGUCCACAUGUACAAUGCCACGUCAUCAGUGAGCAUGACACAUUAGCAAAAGUUUGACCAAAUUGAGGUGGGGGACUAAAACUAACAAAAAACUAAACUAGGGGAUCAAAAGUGCCGAGUUUUAAAAUAGGGGGAUCAAAAGUUCAGGUUUUUCAAAAUAGGGGGGAUCAAAACUGCAUUAAAGCCUUAUUUUUUUUAAUACUCUUUUUGAUAAUGUUUUUAAUACUCUUCCAUUUAUGUUAAGUGUUUCAUUUAAAUUUUAUAAAUGUUAUGAAUCAGUUCAAAUGGUAACAGUUUUGGUCUCUUUAAGCAUGUAGUCCGAGGUUCGAUUUCUGGCUCAUGUGUAUUGAACAAAAAUUCAGUUGGAAGAAUUCACCUUGUGUACCCUACAUGUUUCUCGACGGAGAUUAGUCACUGUUAAUGGUGGUGAAAACUUAAUAUCAAUAUCAUGAUAACAAAAAUACCGAUAAAAUGAGUUUUAUUUGCUUAAAUUAAAUACCUUUAUUAUAUUAUUAUGUUUGAAAAAUUAAGUUGAAAUUUGGUACAAAAUAAAUACAAGUUGUAAAGUUACUAUGUGAAUGGUCCGCAUGAGCAUAACUCAAUUAGUAGGGAUAUUGUAUUUUAUAUGCAGGGCCGAAAUUCGAACCUGAAAUUUUCAACUUAUUCAACUCAAGAGAUGAAUUUUUAGUCAUUAAGCUACUGGAUAAAAUUAAAAAAAAAAAAAGUUUACUAGGUGAAUUUGAAAAAUUGUAGAAGUCCUAUAUUGGACAGAUUACACAAUGUCUUUCCUAUAAAUUCAAUAAGUGGACACUAAUUCCAAGUGAUUUUAUUGCGAUUGUACCCCUUACCUAUUUGUGUCCUAUAAAUAUCACUCACAUUGUAUUGUAAACGACACACUUGAAAAAAAUACAAUAUACUUUCAUCUGUAUAUAAGGAGCACAGUAAUUUUACAAGGUUCAAAUACAUGCAGGCCAGUAACUAUAAAAAACACACUGGUUCCUCAUGCAAUACUACCACAUCACUCACUUUUUCCAACAAGUCCUCCAACUUGUCCACGCCAAAUAUCUGAUAUUCCAAUUGUUUCUUGUACUGUUGCUGGUAUAUAACUUCAAAGCAACUCAUCAAUAUUCAAUACCAAGCAACUCAUCAAUAUCAAACAUGAAUAUCUGACCAGAAUCAGAGCUGGACAGAUAUUUCAACAGACUAAGCUUAUUCGACAACUCAUUCUCAUACGAAGAGCAGCCACCAAUGACAGCAUUUGCAUUCUCUUCC
Molecule: long non-coding RNA, 5355 nt
Filed under: Trifolium pratense (red clover)
Lineage: Eukaryota; Viridiplantae; Streptophyta; Magnoliopsida; Fabales; Fabaceae
Description: long non-coding RNA (TPRA_LNC001027)
Source: RNAcentral